GCAGUCAAUGAGCGUGGAUUCCACUGGUCUCUUAUAGUUGUGCAACCGAAAGACAACAAAGUUUUGUACAUAAAUCCGAUGGGGGAGCAGAAUGUUUCCCAGCAACAGAUCCUGCAACAAUGGAUGUAAAUGUGUACAUUAUUUAAUUAAACAGUAAAUUUGUGCACAUUCGGCGCUUAUCCAGCAUUGAUAUGGGCGGACCAAUACAUUGGAACAUACUCUGCCCACGUCAUGCAAAACAGUCAGAUUCAAUAUCUUGCGGUGUCUACGUUUUAAAGUAAGCAGAAUGCUACCUGCAGAAUCAAUCCCUAGAGUUUGUGCUCAGCAAAACACAACUACUAGAAGAACGGAGACAAAUAGCCAGAAGACUGCUUUCUGAAGGGGAAUUCAUUGAAGGUCAUCUAGAAGAGAUAGCAAGUAGCCCAUCAGUCGAACAUGAGAACUCGGACCAGCUGGCUAACACCCCUGCCUCUGCCAUGGAGUUGGAAGGGCGAGACACUGACCCAGUAGUCGAUCAUGUGGCAACAACUAGGAACUCGGACCAGCUGGCAAACAACCCUGCCUCUGCCAUGGAGUUGGAAGGGGGGAGACACUGACCCAGUGGUCGAUCAUGUAGCAACAGCCAGGGUGAGUCAAAGCGGACACAGUUGAUGAGGAAAUAUGCAUCCAGCAUUGGAAGCACAAUUUUUCUUUAAAAAAAUACAAUUUAUUUAAUUUAAUUUACAUAAUGCCCUGUCUGUUGGUUUGUUUGUUUGUGCAAACCUUAACAUUUGCAAUAACUUUUGCAAUAUUAAAGGUAGCAACUUCAUAUAUAGCAUGCAUGUGCAUCUCAAGGAGCUACACACUUUGAGUUGUGUAAGGUCAAGGUAUUAUUUUUUUGGUAAAAUUGAUGAAUUAAUAUGAUAUCUCUUUGCAAAUUGUUUUAAAAUUAAUACAUAACUUGUUUCAGAAACAUUGUUUAAUAACAUUCAAUUGUCAUUUAUUCGAAUUUGAAAGUUGUCAAAAGUAAUUAUUUCUCCCUAUACGGUAGCUUUAGGUAUAUGUGAUAUUUCAUGAGAAAACUAGUCUUCAUUGCAUUACAAAUUAAUGAAGCAUUCUUUACAUUUGCUUUUAUAACAAAAAAACCUAGUUUAGACUUGUAAAAUUGAUAAAAAUAAUUAUUUGAACAUAAAGUUUGACCAGAGUGUACAAUUUAAACACACAAGUUUAUAACGACGUGUAUCUUGUGCUUUGCAUUUGUUUAAAAGUUGCCUUAUAAUUGUGCGAAGCAUGUCUUCUCAAAUUAAAAAUGCAUCUUAUUCAAAGGUGAUCAGAACUAAAUGUGUUUUUUUUAAUAAUUCAGGGAUAACAAAAAUCAGACUAAGAAACCAUAUGCAAUAAUUCAUAGUCUGUUGUCUUCACAGAGAGAAACUUCAAUAAAAAAUAUGCUGUCAUUUUAUAAUACCUUCGUGUUUGCCUCACGGUUGCCUAUUGAUUUGUUUUAAAAUAGGAAGUUUAUAAUGAGGUAUAUAACACAAAGAAAUUUCAUAUUUGAAUCAUUUUUAUGCUCCUCUAAAAAAUUCUUGUCUGAGCUUUUUCUCAGUAACUUAUUACGGGAAUUCAAUGAAACUUUAUGGGAAGCUUCACUACCAAGAGGAGAUGUGCAUGUUAUUAGCCAGUUAUGGUCGGAUGAUUUUUCACAGAGUUAUGGCCCAUUGAAAUUUUCCAUUUACUGUACAUAUUGUGCAUUCUUGUUCGGGCUAUUUCUCAGCAACUAAUGUCUGCAAUUGAAUGAAACUUUAUGGGAAGCUUCACUACCAACAGGACAUGUGCAUAUUAUCAGCAAGUUAUGGUCGGAUGAUUUUUCACAGAGUUAUGGCCCUUUGAAAUUUUCAAUAUACUGUACAUAUAGUGCAAUUCUUGUCUGGGCUAUUUAUCCCCAACUAAUGACUUGAAUUCAAUGAAGUUUUAUGGGAAGCUUAACUGCCUUGAAGAGAUGCGCGUGUUAUUUGUGGGUUCUGGUUAGAUGAUUUAUUUAGAGACUUAUGGCCCUUUGAAAUUGUUAAGUUGCUAAACCAUCCAUCCUAUUAUUUUGUCCAAAGUUAUGCCACUCAAGAUGUUUCCUUUUAUCUGAAUAUAUAGUGCAAUAUUGUGACCAAAAAAACUUUGGGGAGCUUCACCCAUCUCUGACGGCUUGUUUUAAUUAAAUAUUAAUUGUAAAUCCCAUAUCACCUUUUAUCAUACUUUUUUGUAAUUGACAACUUGGUUUUCUGACAAUUGUUUUCCUUGUUUUGUUUCAAAUAGGCAUGAUAUGGUUACUAUUAAAUCAACUUCAUAUGUUCUUCCCUUGUGAUAAGUAUUUUUAGCUCAUCUAUUUUUUGAAAAAAAAUUAUGAGCUAUUGUCAUCACCUUUGCGUCGGCGUUGGCGUCCGGUUAAGUUUUGCGUUUAGGUCCACUUUUCUCAGAAAGUAUCAAUGCUAUUGCAUUCAAACUUGGUACACUUACUUACCACCAUGAGAGGACUGGGCAGGCAAAGUUAGAUAACUCUGGCGUGCAAUUUGACAGAAUUAUGUGCCCUUUUUAUACUUAGAAAAUUGAAAAUUUUGGUUAAGUUUUGCGUUUAGGUCCACUUUUCUCAGAAAGUAUCAAUGCUAUUGCAUUCAAACUUGGAACACUUACUUACUAUCAUGAGGGGACUGGGCAGGCAAAGUUAGAUAACUCUGGCACGCAUUUUGACAGAAUUAUGUGCCCUUUUUAUACUUAGAAAAUUGAAAAUUUUGGUUAAGUUUUGUGUUUAGGUCCAUUUUAUUCCGUAAGUAUCAAAGCUAUUGCUUUCAUACUUGCAACACUUACUAACUAUCAUAAGGGGACUGUGCAGGCAAAGUUAUGUAACUCUAACUGGCAUUUGGGCAGAAUUAUGGGCCCUUUAUACUUAGAAAAUUGAAAAUUUGGUUAAGUUUUGUGUUUUGGUCCACUUAACCCCUAAAGUAUCAUAGAUAUUGCUUUCAUACUUGGAACACUUGCAAACUAUCAUAAGGGUACAGUAAAAGGACAAGUUGCAUAACUCUGGUUGUCAUUUUUAUGGAAUUAUGGCCCUUUUUUGACUUAGUAACUUUGAAUAUAUGGUUAAAUUUUGUGUUUCGAUCCACUUUACUUCUUAACUAUCAAGGCUAUUGCUUUCAAACUUCAAAUACUUUCAUGCUAUCAUGAGGUGACUGUACCUGGCAAGUUGAAUUUUACCUUGAAUCCCCC
Dreissena polymorpha is the source of this 3231-nucleotide long non-coding RNA. RefSeq lists it as uncharacterized. NCBI's taxonomy places the organism in Eukaryota, Metazoa, Mollusca, Bivalvia, Myida, Dreissenidae. The transcript is spliced from 8 exons. The record is from RefSeq and is a predicted model, not a curated record.